RNAcentral lists this unclassified non-coding RNA (433 nucleotides) under soil metagenome. RNAcentral's name for it is "partial contains 5.8S ribosomal RNA, internal transcribed spacer 2, and large subunit ribosomal RNA". The stretch from base 1 to 120 matches the Rfam family "5.8S ribosomal RNA", at positions 35 to 154 of the family's 154-position model. The record is from RNAcentral.
GAUGAAGAACGUAGCGAAAUGCGAUACGUAAUGUGAAUUGCAGAAUUCAGUGAAUCAUCGAAUCUUUGAACGCAUAUUGCGCUCUCUGGUAUUCCGGAGAGCAUGCUUGUUUGAGUAUCAGUAAACACCUCAACUUCCAUAUCUUUUUUGAAAUGGGAGUUGGACUUGAGUGGUCCCAACGCUUUUCCUCACCGAAAAGUGGCGGGUUACUUGAAAUGCAGGUGCAGCUGGACUUUUCUCUGAGCUAUAAGCAUAUCUAUUUAGUCUGCCUAAAAAACAGAUUAUUACCUUUGCUGCAGCUAACAUAAAGGAGAUUAGUUCUUGUGCUGACUGAUGCAGGAUUCACAAAGACAGGCUUCGGCCGACUUUGUAAACUCGAUCUCAAAUCAAGUAAGACUACCCGCUGAACUUAAGCAUAUCAAUAAGCGGAGGA